Molecule: ribosomal RNA, 495 nt
Filed under: uncultured bacterium
Lineage: Bacteria
Description: partial 16S ribosomal RNA
Rfam family: Bacterial small subunit ribosomal RNA
Source: RNAcentral
AUGAACGCUGGCGGCGUGCCUAAUACAUGCAAGUCGAGCGAACAGACGAGGAGCUUGCUCCUCUGACGUUAGCGGCGGACGGGUGAGUAACACGUGGAUAACCUACCUAUAAGACUGGGAUAACUUCGGGAAACCGGAGCUAAUACCGGAUAAUAUAUUGAACCGCAUGGUUCAAUAGUGAAAGACGGUUUUGCUGUCACUUAUAGAUGGAUCCGCGCCGCAUUAGCUAGUUGGUAAGGUAACGGCUUACCAAGGCAACGAUGCGUAGCCGACCUGAGAGGGUGAUCGGCCACACUGGAACUGAGACACGGUCCAGACUCCACGGGAGGCAGCAGUAGGGAAUCUUCCGCAAUGGGCGAAAGCCUGACGGAGCAACGCCGCGUGAGUGAUGAAGGUCUUCGGAUCGUAAAACUCUGUUAUUAGGGAAGAACAAAUGUGUAAGUAACUAUGCACGUCUUGACGGUACCUAAUCAGAAAGCCACGGCUAACUACGUG